RNAcentral lists this ribosomal RNA (910 nucleotides) under Salmonella enterica. Its description in RNAcentral is "bacterial SSU rRNA". It matches the Rfam family "Bacterial small subunit ribosomal RNA", at positions 137 to 1043 of the family's 1533-position model. Lineage: Bacteria; Pseudomonadati; Pseudomonadota; Gammaproteobacteria; Enterobacterales; Enterobacteriaceae. The record is from RNAcentral.
AGGGGGAUAACUACUGGAAACGGUGGCUAAUACCGCAUAACGUCGCAAGACCAAAGAGGGGGACCUUCGGGCCUCUUGCCAUCAGAUGUGCCCAGAUGCGAUUAGCUAGUUGGUGAGGUAACGGCUCACCAAGGCGACGAUCCCUAGCUGGUCUGAGAGGAUGACCAGCCACACUGGAACUGAGACACGGUCCAGACUCCUACGCGAGGCAGCAGUGGUGAAUAUUGCACAAUGCGCGCAAGCCUGAUGCAGCCAUGCCGCGUGUAUGAAGAAGGCCUUCGGCUUGUAAAGUACUUUCAGCGGCGAGGAAGGUGUUGUGGUUAAUAACCGCAGCAAUUGACGUUACCCGCAGAAGAAGCACCCGCUAACUCCGUGCCAGCAGCCGCGGUAAUACGGAGGGUGCAAGCGUUAAUCGGAAUUACUGGGCGUAAAGCGCACGCAGGCGGUCUGUCAAGUCGGAUGUGAAAUCCCCGGGCUCAACCUGGGAACUGCAUUCGAAACUGGCAGGCUUGAGUCUUGUAGAGGGGGGUAGAAUUCCAGGUGUAGCGGUGAUAUGCGUAGAGAUCUGGAGGAAUACCGGUGGCGAAGGCGGCCGCCUGGACAAAGACUGACGCUCAGGUGCGAAAGCGUGCGGAGCAUACAGGAUUAGAUACCCUGGUAGUCCACGCCGUAAACGAUGUCUACUUGGAGGUUGUGCCCUUGAGGCGUGGCUUCCGGACGUAACGCGUUAAGUAGACCGCCUGGCGAGUACGGCCGCAAGGUUAAUACUCAUAUGAAUUGACGGCGGCCGCACAAGCGGUGGAGCAUGUGGUUUAAUUCGAUGCAACGCGAAGAACCUUACCUGGUCUUGACAUCCACAGAAGAAUCCAGAGAUGGAUUGGUGCCUUCGGGAACUGUGAGACAGGUGCUG